This 824-nucleotide ribosomal RNA is filed under the name fungal endophyte. Its description in RNAcentral is "eukaryotic LSU rRNA". The stretch from base 497 to 824 matches the Rfam family "Eukaryotic large subunit ribosomal RNA", at positions 1 to 331 of the family's 3401-position model. The record is from RNAcentral. Lineage: Eukaryota; Fungi.
CAUUAAAGAGUUCUAUAACUCCCAAACCCAUGUGAACAUACCUAACGUUGCCUCGGCAGGUCGCACCUACCUUGUAGCACCCUACCCUGUAGGGCCUACCCGGGAGGUGCGGGUAAGCCUGCCGGCGGCCCACCAAACUCUGUUUGAUAUUGAAUUCUGAACCUAUAACUAAAUAAGUUAAAACUUUCAACAACGGAUCUCUUGGUUCUGGCAUCGAUGAAGAACGCAGCGAAAUGCGAUAAGUAAUGUGAAUUGCAGAAUUCAGUGAAUCAUCGAAUCUUUGAACGCAUAUUGCGCCCAUUAGUAUUCUAGUGGGCAGGACCGUUCGAGCGUCAUUUCAACCCUUAAGCCUUCGUUGCUUAGUGUUGGGAGCCUACGGCAACGUAGCUCCUCAAAGUUAGUGGCGGAGUUGGUUCACACUCUAGACGUAGUAAUUUUUUAUCUCGCCUAUUAGUUGGACUAAUCCCCUGCCGUAAAACCCCCAAUUUAUCAAGGUUGACCUCGAAUCGGUUCAGACAAACUCGCUAAAUUGAAGCAUCUUAGUCAGCGAAGGAAAAGAAACCAACAGGGAUUGCCCUAGUAACGGCGAGUGAAGCGGCAACAGCUCAAAUUUGAAAUCUGGCCCUCGGGUCCGAGUUGUAAUUUGUAGAGGAUGCUUUUGGCGCGGUGCCUUCCGAGUUCCCUGGAACGGGACGCCUUAGAGGGUGAGAGCCCCGUACGGUUGGACACCAAGCCUCUGUAAAGCUCCUUCGACGAGUCGAGUAGCUUGGGAAUGCUGCUCUAAAUGGGAGGUAAAUUUCUUCUAAAGCUAAAUAUUGGCCAGA